CCUGUGACACACUACAACAAUAAUACGGAAGAGGUGGGAAUCAGGUGACACCGCUCGCGUACAGCUGAAUUGUAGUUCUGACAGUAAAAACCAGACUGCAUUAUGGAGGACCAGGAGAUGCAACUGAAAGUCAGAAGGGUGACUGACAAGUUCACGGAGAGCAUGUACGUCCUGGCUAACGAGCCGUCGGUGGCUCUCUACAGGCUGCAGGAGCACGUCAGGAGGUCGCUGCCAGAACUAGUCCAGCACAAGACAGAUAUGCAGAGCUGGGAGGAACAAAGUCAAGGAGCCAUCUACACUGUAGAGUACGCAUGCAGUGCCGUGAAGAGCAUGAACAACAGCAGCUUAUAUUUCAAAAACAUUGACAGUCUUCUCCGUCAAGCCAUCAGCAUGAAGGAACAGAUUAAUAAUUCUCAAGGGCGCAGCUUAAAUGAUGUGAGUCCCUGUCCCAGCCCCACUGUCACUGCUCCACAUGCCCCAUCCACUUCCUCAUGACAGACAGAGGUGUCCAAGGUUAGUAGUUCCUUCAGACGUUACAUUAUUAGUAUCUGAAAUUAGUAAAAUUAGCUUUUCAGAUAACAGGCUUGUGUGUUCAAAAAGUUCUUAUUUGAAUUAUAUAUAGUUCUAGAAUCAAUUUAUUUAAUAUUUAUGUGAAAUAAUUUUACAAAGCACAUAACAAAACACCUCUGCACAUUGUGCACAUAUUUGGCAAAAAGCAGCUAUAUACAGCAGAAUAAAAUAUUUACAUGAUUAUAAUAUGAGCGAUAAAUUCAUCAGCUUGAUAUAUGGAUGGCAUUGGUGUGCAUAAUUUAGAAAUUUAGAUCAAAUUCAUUAACGUGAAGCACUACAUUUUUUUCCCCGCCAGGUUAAUAAUACUUUUGUAACCUGUGUUGGAGAAAUGGAGAAAAAAGUUGCUAAAGAUACUUUUUUUUUUUUCUUCCUUCUUCUUUCUUCUUUUGUCUGCGGUCAUUCUGGAUAAACUUGUCGAAUGUUGACAGUAUUACAUCUGCACUGAAAUGUCACUUGUUGUUGUCACCAUAUAGUAUUUGUAGGUCAUUAGUCUUUUCUAGCCACUGAUGCAAACUGCUUAUCUGAUUUUAUGUCACACGAGAGUAGAGUCUUUUGCACAAAUCCCUGACUUUCGUGCAAGGACGCUCCUCAUCUCAUUGUUGACCCCAUUCCAGGGUUUAACCUGGGCCUGUAGCAAACCAGAUUCAGUAGACAGUGUCCUGUGCAUUCGGGGAUAGCUGCCACCACUGCUGUAAGCAUCUUUAUCACUAGAGUGGCCCUGUGAACCUCCUGUAGGGGAGUACUGCUGCUGCUGCUGAUAUUGUUCUCGCUGUCUCGGGUCGCCACAUUGAGUGAAGGCGAUAUGAUGCUGGAGGUGAGACUGGCUGCGAAGGAUCCGCGGUUUGUCCACUCCAAUUUUUAACUCGCAGGGCCGAGAAACUGGUGCGCUGCUACUUCCGUGGUCGUUACGAUACAGGGUGUCAAGAUGGUCACUGUGAUAGUGCUUCCCAGUAUGGGAAGCUUUAACCAGAGCGUGUAUUACAGCCACCAGCAGGAUCAGGAUCCCAGAGGAAAGUACACAAGCACUUGCGAUUCCAGUCUCCAUCUCGAAUAUUAGGAGCAUAAAAAUGGACAUGGCUGCCAAGAAAGAGAAUAGCAGGGGGAAAAAAUUAGAAUUUGUAUGUGCAGAAACACCAAGUGCUUUUCUCUGUAAUCAGCUAACAAGUUGCACCUCUACUGGGCCAAAUAACUUCAAGCAGAACACAAUAAGUGUUACAGUUUAUAUUACAGUUUCUUAUGUUUGUCUGCAGGAAAAGGACAAUGGACUCAGGCAUGCUGAAGGAGGUGGGAGAAAAGCACAGCUCUGGGAUGUGAUGCGACUUCCUAAGUUGGUGGCGUUGCCUUUAAAGUCUUGCCCUGCUACCUAUUGACUGUGGCUGAAGUGGGUUCAGAAGGGCAACACCUCCUCAUCACAAUAGAGUGGCUGCCUACACUGACCCCCCCACCCCCCGUACAAGCCUCUCAGUGGAACAGAGCAUACCAGCGCUGCUAGGUCCAGCAUUAAAAACACUUAAGUCAUGGCUGCUCAAAGAAUGCAUUGUUCUGUUGGACUCACUGGUCGGUUCAGGGAGACCGCAGCACUGCUGUUUUGCCACUGCUGUUGAAAGUCCACUGCACAGCCAAUGUUUUUAAAGCUUACCUAUUAAAUAGACAGAAACCCCCAGACAGAAGAGUCCAAUAGCCACAUGUCGUACAGCUCUGCUGUCCAGAAGGAACCAAUCUGCUCUGUUGAAAGAAAUCAGAUCUGUUUAGUGCACAAGUACAUUGCAUUACUUAAAAUAACAACAAUAUGUUUUGUUUUGUUUUUGAUAUGUUCGUUGUCUUUGCUAAAUAAUAAAGUAAUAACUUUUUGUCUUGCAAAAUUAGGGCUAUUUAUUGUUUAUUUUUUAUAAAUGCUUGGUCAUUUGUGCCAUGGAUUUAAAAUUUCUAGGAAUGUCUCCAUUGUCAGGGAGGUGCUGUGGUAUGCCGUUAGAUUUGUAAACCGACAUGGGAAAGGGCCAGCUAGAGGCUGUGUGUUGGGUACAUAAUGAGAGGAAAUCCAUUGUUUAGCUGGGAUUCAUAAAGGGUUAGAGAGGUGUGUG
Neolamprologus brichardi is the source of this 2651-nucleotide non-coding RNA. Lineage: Eukaryota; Metazoa; Chordata; Actinopteri; Cichliformes; Cichlidae. The record is from RefSeq and is a predicted model, not a curated record.